RNAcentral lists this ribosomal RNA (269 nucleotides) under Sphingomonas paucimobilis. RNAcentral describes it as "partial 16S ribosomal RNA". It matches the Rfam family "Bacterial small subunit ribosomal RNA", at positions 56 to 352 of the family's 1533-position model. Lineage: Bacteria; Pseudomonadati; Pseudomonadota; Alphaproteobacteria; Sphingomonadales; Sphingomonadaceae. The record is from RNAcentral.
UGCAGUCGAACGAUUGCCUUCGGGUGAUAGUGGCGCACGGGUGCGUAACGCGUGGGAAUCUGCCCUUAGGUUCGGAAUAACAGCUGGAAACGGCUGCUAAUACCGGAUGAUAUCGCGAGAUCAAAGAUUUAUCGCCUGAGGAUGAGCCCGCGUUGGAUUAGGUAGUUGGUGGGGUAAAGGCCUACCAAGCCGACGAUCCAUAGCUGGUCUGAGAGGAUGAUCAGCCACACUGGGACUGAGACACGGCCCAGACUCCUACGGGAGGCAGC